AACGAGGUUCGGCAUUUUCAUUUCUUUUCAUUUCUCCUCUUCCUCUUGUCCCAUAUCUGAAAAAAAAAAAAAUCGCCACCACCAGCCCCUCUUCAAGUCAGCAGACCGACGGUCGACGUCCCUUUUCAACUCUCCUCUGCUCGACGGUCGACGCUCGAGCUUAACGUCUCACACACGUGCACCAGUCACCAUCAUCGUUGGCAGAUUCAUUCAUCUCAUUGCACGGGUCACUAAGCUAGCUCGGGUUGGAGAUCAUCGGAGAUGCUAUCACACUAUCAAUUUAUCAUCGUGGGGUAAAAGUGAAUGCAAACCUCUUAACCUUAUGGCAUGUAUAGGGACUAAGUCACUUUGUUUAUGUGUUAUAUUAUUUAGCCAUAUGUAUUGGCUUAUGAUGAUUUAAUACUCCAAUUUGUAUAUAUAGCCGUGAAGGAUGGCUUAUGUUGAUAUUAUUAUUAUUCAUGUGUAUGUCAAUGUUUUAUGAUGUGGUUUAUAUUUGCUUGAUGAGUGACAGUUGAAUGUGUCCAAGUGGUUAUGUUGUUGAGUGACUAAGUUUGAUGUUGUAUGUAUGAAAAUGAUGGCAUGUGGUUGACAUGUUAA
Molecule: long non-coding RNA, 597 nt
Organism: Gossypium arboreum
Lineage: Eukaryota; Viridiplantae; Streptophyta; Magnoliopsida; Malvales; Malvaceae
Exons: 2
Source: RefSeq, a predicted model, not a curated record